CAUGUGAGGCUGUCAGGAAACUAUUGUUCCGGUCUUCUUGAAGUUUAUUACUUUGGUGGCUGGACUGGUGUCUGUCAUCAACAUUUCAGCCUCACCAACGCUGAGGUCAUCUGCAGGGAGCUGCGAUGUGGCCGAGCACUUAGCGUUGUGGAAGACUACUCCAGUGCCAUCUACCCUUAUCUGAGUGAUGUGUUCUGUACUGGCAGUGAAGACUUCUUGUGGCAAUGUUCAUUUCGAGAAGGAGGCUGCAGGAACAACGCAAGCGUUAGGGUCACAUGUGCAGAAUCUGGACUGUUGAGACCAACAGACGUUUAUGUAACAGGUAAUAUUAAAC
Long non-coding RNA from Candoia aspera, 334 nucleotides. RefSeq lists it as uncharacterized. The record is from RefSeq and is a predicted model, not a curated record. NCBI's taxonomy places the organism in Eukaryota, Metazoa, Chordata, Lepidosauria, Squamata, Candoiidae. The transcript is spliced from 3 exons.